CAAAAGCAGAAGGAUUUGCAGCUAUAAUAUACAACUAUGUAUUGUGGGCCUUUGGGGAGAAGAAAAAAAAGAAGAUUGGUAACAGAUGUUAGCUCAGGUGCCAAUCUUUAAAACAAAACAAAAGAAAAGAAACCCUGUGCCCAUUCAACAGUAACCCCCCAUUACUUUUUUUCCCCAGACUCUGAAAAUCACUAUUUGCAUUAGGGUUCUCCAAAGAAACAGAACCAACAGAAAAGAGAUUUAUUAUCAGGAAUUGAUUCACAUGAUUAUGGAGACUGAGAAGUCCCAAGAUCUGCAGUCAGCAAGCUGGACUCAGGAGAGCCAAUGGUUAGUUCCGGUGUGAGUCCGAAGGCCUGAGAAGCAGGAGAUCGGAUGGUGAAAAUGCCUACAUGGGGUAGAUUAAGUGAAAGAAACGUGGCAGCAUCUUUCAGCUAUGAUAAACUGAAUAGGCAUAUUCCUAACCUGCUCCUAGACAACUAGGGGCAGCAGAAGUCAGCAAAGAGUUCAGAGAUGCAGCUGGAAGCAUGAAGUGAUAAGAUGGUCCUUUAGUCCCAUAACUCUGUGCAAACUGUUAUUUUGUUGAGUCUUGCUGCUGGAUGCCAACAUCAAGGCAGAACGCACGGAAUUUCUUCACAAAGAUGUGAUUGCAGCAAAAGCAAGGUAAUCGAUACGU
Equus caballus (horse) is the source of this 673-nucleotide non-coding RNA. Lineage: Eukaryota; Metazoa; Chordata; Mammalia; Perissodactyla; Equidae. The record is from RefSeq and is a predicted model, not a curated record.